AUUGAACGCUGGCGGCAUGCCUUACACAUGCAAGUCGAACGGCAGCACGGGUGCUUGCACCUGGUGGCGAGUGGCGAACGGGUGAGUAAUACAUCGGAACAUGUCCUGUAGUGGGGGAUAGCCCGGCGAAAGCCGGAUUAAUACCGCAUACGAUCUACGGAUGAAAGCGGGGGACCUUCGGGCCUCGCGCUAUAGGGUUGGCCGAUGGCUGAUUAGCUAGUUGGUGGGGUAAAGGCCUACCAAGGCGACGAUCAGUAGCUGGUCUGAGAGGACGACCAGCCACACUGGGACUGAGACAUGGCCCAGACUCCUGCGGGAGGCAGCAGUGGGGAAUUUUGGACAAUGGGCGAAAGCCUGAUCCAGCAAUGCCGCGUGUGUGAAGAAGGCCUUCGGGUUGUAAAGCACUUUUGUCCGGAAAGAAAUCCUUGGCUCUAAUACAGUCGGGGGAUGACGGUACCGGAAGAAUAAGCACCGGCUAACUACGUG
RNAcentral lists this ribosomal RNA (486 nucleotides) under uncultured bacterium. RNAcentral's name for it is "partial 16S ribosomal RNA". It matches the Rfam family "Bacterial small subunit ribosomal RNA", at positions 30 to 507 of the family's 1533-position model. The record is from RNAcentral.